UACGGAGGGUGCGAGCGUUGUUCGGAAUCACUGGGCGUAAAGGGCGUGUAGGCGGUCCGCUAAGUCUGAUGUGAAAGCCCGGGGCUCACCCCCGGAAGGGCAUUGGAAACUGGCGGACUCGAGUCCCGGAGAGGAGGGUGGAAUUCCUGGUGUAGCGGUGAAAUGCGUAGAUAUCGAGAGGAACACCUGCGGCGAAGGCGGGUUGCUGGGCCGACACUGACGCUGAUGCGCGAAAGCCAGGGGAGCGAACGGG
Molecule: ribosomal RNA, 253 nt
Filed under: uncultured bacterium
Lineage: Bacteria
Description: partial 16S ribosomal RNA
Rfam family: Bacterial small subunit ribosomal RNA
Source: RNAcentral